RNAcentral lists this ribosomal RNA (264 nucleotides) under uncultured archaeon. RNAcentral describes it as "partial 16S ribosomal RNA". It matches the Rfam family "Archaeal small subunit ribosomal RNA", at positions 718 to 982 of the family's 1478-position model. The record is from RNAcentral.
AGUCACUGACAUUAGAUACCCCUGUAGCCCCAGCCGUAAACAAUGUGCGUUAGGUGUGUCGGUAACCACGUGUUACUGAUGCGCCGAAGAGAAAUCGUGAAACGCACCACCUGGGAAGUACGGUCGCAAGGCUGAAACUUAAAGGAAUUGGCGGGGAGCACCACAACAGGUGGAGCCUGCGGUUUAAUUGGAUUCAACGCCGGACAUCUCACCGGAUAAGACAGCUGAAUGAUUGUCAAUCUGAAGGUUUUACAUGACUAGCUG